GGGUGAUCCAGCUGUAACAUCUGUCACUCAUCGAUCGCCAGGGUUGAAUCAGCUGAUCUGGCUGGCUAGGUAGGUGUCCCAAUAGAGGAAGGCCAUUCUUUAGUCAGGGAUACACGAGCAGCUACACGCCCUUCCUAGAACCUCGAACAAGCUCUCAAGGUCCAUUUGUAGGAGAAGGGAGGGUAAUCAAGUUUCCAAGACUCCAGACACAUCCAAAUGAGGGUCUACAUAUGAUAAUCUUCUUUUCUUU
This is a non-coding RNA of Ailuropoda melanoleuca (giant panda), 250 nucleotides long. NCBI's taxonomy places the organism in Eukaryota, Metazoa, Chordata, Mammalia, Carnivora, Ursidae. The record is from Rfam.